Molecule: ribosomal RNA, 301 nt
Filed under: uncultured bacterium
Lineage: Bacteria
Description: partial 16S ribosomal RNA
Rfam family: Bacterial small subunit ribosomal RNA
Source: RNAcentral
CAGCCGCCGCGGUAAAACGAAGGGGGCUAGCGUUGUUCGGAAUUACUGGGCGUAAAGCGCACGUAGGCGGACAUUUAAGUCAGGGGUGAAAUCCCGGGGCUCAACCCCGGAACUGCCUUUGAUACUGGGUGUCUAGAGUAUGGAAGAGGUGAGUGGAAUUCCGAGUGUAGAGGUGAAAUUCGUAGAUAUUCGGAGGAACACCAGUGGCGAAGGCGGCUCACUGGUCCAUUACUGACGCUGAGGUGCGAAAGCGUGGGGAGCAAACAGGAUUAGAUACCCCGGUAGUCCCUGUCUCUUAUAC